Molecule: ribosomal RNA, 904 nt
Filed under: uncultured bacterium
Lineage: Bacteria
Description: partial 16S ribosomal RNA
Source: RNAcentral
UCCCGUCAAUUCAUUUGAGUUUUAACCUUGCGGCCGUACUCCCCAGGCGGUCAACUUCACGCGUUAGCUUCGUUACCAAGGAAUUGCUUCCCCGACAACCAGUUGACAUAGUUUAGAGCGUGGACUACCAGGGUAUCUAAUCCUGUUUGCUCCCCACGCUUUCGUGCAUGAGCGUCAGUGUUAGCCCAGGGGGCUGCCUUCGCCAUCGGUGUUCCUCCACAUCUCUACGCAUUUCACCGCUACACCAGGAAUUCCACCUUCCCCUACCUGCCUCAAGUCCUCCAGUAUCGAGUGCGGUUUCAGGGUUGAGCCCUGAGAUUUCACACCCGACUUAAAGGACCGCCUACGAGCUCUUUACGCCCAAUAAUUCCGGACAACGCUUGCCCCCUACGUAUUACCGCGGCUGCUGGCACGUAGUUAGCCGGUCCUUCUUCCUGCCGUACCGUCAAGCGCCGAAGCGCCUUCUUCCGACAGAAAAGGGGUUUACGCCCCGAAGGGUGUCGUCCCCCACGCGGCGUUGCUCCGUCAGGGUUGCCCCCAUUGCGGAAGAUUCCUUGCUGCUGCCUCCCGUAGGAGUCGGGGCCGUGUCUCAGUCCCCGUGUGGCUGGCCGUCCUCUCAGACCAGCUACCGAUCACCGCCUUGGGAAGCCGUUACCCCCCCAACCAGCUAAUCGGCCGCAGGCGCCUCCCGGGGCGGGUCCGAAGACCCUUUCCUGACCGGUCCCACCGACCGGCCAACGUACGCGGAAUUGCCCGGCGUUUCCGCCGGCUAUCCCCCGCCCCGGGGCAGCUUGCCCACGUGCUCCGCACCCGUCCGCCACGUGAGGCCGCCGAAGCGGCCCCCGUCCGACUUGCAUGCAUUAGGCACGCCGCCAGCGUUGAUCCUGAGCCAUAAUCAAACUCU